CCUACGGGGUGCAGCAGUGAGGAAUAUUGGUCAAUGGCCGGAAGGCUGAACCAGCCAUGCCGCGUGAAGGUCAGUGCCCUAUGGGCGUUAAACUUCUUUUGUGCGGGAGCAAUAAUGGUCACGUGUGGCCAGACGAGAGUACCGUACGAAUAAGCAUCGGCUAACUCCGUGCCAGCAGCCGCGGUAAUACGGGGGAUGCAAGCGUUAUCCGGAUUUAUUGGGUUUAAAGGGUGCGUAGGCUGUGAGGUAAGUCAGCGGGGAAAUGCCCCCGCUCAACGGGGUGAAGUGCCAUUGAUACUGCCUUGCUGGAAUGCGGAUGCCGUGGGAGGAAUGUGUGGUGUAGCGGUGAAAUGCAUAGAUAUCACACAGAACACCGAUUGCGAAGGCAUCUCACGAAUCCGCGAUUGACGCUGAUGUACGAAAGCGUGGGUAUCAAACAGGAUUAGAUACCCUUGUAGUC
RNAcentral lists this ribosomal RNA (460 nucleotides) under uncultured bacterium. Its description in RNAcentral is "partial 16S ribosomal RNA". It matches the Rfam family "Bacterial small subunit ribosomal RNA", at positions 338 to 795 of the family's 1533-position model. The record is from RNAcentral.